GUCCCCAUCGUCUAGAGGCCUAGGACACCGCCCUUUCACGGCGGUAACAGGGGUUCGAAUCCCCUAGGGGACGCCA
Molecule: transfer RNA, 76 nt
Filed under: Rheinheimera sp.
Lineage: Bacteria; Pseudomonadati; Pseudomonadota; Gammaproteobacteria; Chromatiales; Chromatiaceae
Also listed under: 3 other names
Description: tRNA-Glu
Rfam family: tRNA
About the family: Transfer RNA (tRNA) molecules are approximately 80 nucleotides in length. Their secondary structure includes four short double-helical elements and three loops (D, anti-codon, and T loops).
Source: RNAcentral